This 1264-nucleotide long non-coding RNA is filed under the name Piliocolobus tephrosceles (Ugandan red Colobus). RNAcentral describes it as "lncRNA (ENSPTEG00000026424.1)". The record is from RNAcentral. Lineage: Eukaryota; Metazoa; Chordata; Mammalia; Primates; Cercopithecidae.
GAGUGAAGAAAUUAUAAAACAAAAGUUGGUUACUCUUAUUAACCAUUUAAACGACCGUAAGUUAAUUUUCAACUUAAAAAUAUUCCCUGUUAAAAAAUCAAUUUUCCAGCUAUACGAUAUUCGUUCUAAACAAGCUAAACAAAAAUUAAAAAAAACGUUGAUAAAAUUAAAACAAAAGAAAAAUUGUGAUAUAUGUUCUGAAGAAAUAGACCAGCAUUUCCCUUGUUUAUUCUACACUAUUGACGUACAUAGAACGGAAUUCUUAAUUGAAAAAAUCGAGGUAUAUAAUGAAUGAAACAAAGCGAACUAACUUAACUGUUCUAGAAAUCUACAUAUAUACACGCAUGCAUAUGUUAAAAUUUGUUUGCUGUUGUAACAAUAUGUGUUCGACGUUAAAAAUUGUUUUAUUUUGAUAACACAACUUUUUUGAAAGACCACACUUUUUAAUUUUUUUUUUUUUUUUUUUUUUUUUUUUUUUUUCAGGUUUAUUGUACUAAAUGUUAUAAAAUAAAAAGAUUUACCACAUUUUCAAAAGAAUUAUAUAAAAGUAAAAGCUUAAACGACUUUUUAAAUUUUGCUUCAAUUUAUGACCAUUAUUACAGUGUUAAUAAAUUGCAGAUACAACAAAAAAACAUUUUAGAAAAUGACAUCAACAUUUUUUUAUCACUUUCUGUGUUAGCAAAAAAUUUAAUAUGGAAAAUGAACACCCCCCAUGAAACGUUUGACAAAUUUUUAGAAUUUUCAUUGAACGCCAAUAACCUUAACACCAAAAAAGAUGUGUCAACAAAAAAAAAAAAAAAAAAAAAAAAAGAAGAAGGAGAAGAAGAAGAAGAAAUAGAAGGAGAAGAAGAAGAAAUAGAAAUAGAAGAAGAAGGAAAAGCAGAAGAAGGAGAAAAAGCAGAAGGAGAAAAAGCAGAAGGAGAAAAAGCAGAAGGAGAAAAAAGAGAAGAAGUAGAAUUAGGAGAAGAAGUAAACGAAGACACAACACAACACAGUACAUCAUAGUACAGUAAUGUAAAAAUCAGCAAUCGAACAUAUGAUCAUAUAAAAUUGUAUAACAUGUUAUUUUUGCAUGAAAUCAUGUAUACGGUUAUUAGUUAUUAUAUGAAUAAUUUUUAUUGAUAAUUUUUUAUUUUUUUAUUUUUUUUUUUUGGUGAGGAAAACCGAUUUAAACUCUCUUCAAUUGUUAUUUUUGUAUCUAAAAGAAAUGUUUAUUUUUUAUGUUUGUCUUUUUUUAAAUUAAUAAAAAGUGUGACUAUAUACA